This 253-nucleotide unclassified non-coding RNA is filed under the name uncultured Nocardioidaceae bacterium. RNAcentral describes it as "contains 16S-23S intergenic spacer region". It matches the Rfam family "Bacterial small subunit ribosomal RNA", at positions 524 to 776 of the family's 1533-position model. The record is from RNAcentral. Lineage: Bacteria; Bacillati; Actinomycetota; Actinomycetes; Propionibacteriales; Nocardioidaceae.
UACGUAGGGCGCGAGCGUUAUCCGGAAUUAUUGAGCGUAAAGGGCUCGUAGGCGGUUUGUCGCGUCGGGAGUGAAAACUCAGGGCUCAACCCUGAGCGUGCUUCCGAUACGGGCAGACUAGAGGUAUGCAGGGGAGAACGGAAUUCCUGGUGUAGCGGUGGAAUGCGCAGAUAUCAGGAGGAACACCGGUGGCGAAGGCGGUUCUCUGGGCAUUACCUGACGCUGAGGAGCGAAAGCAUGGGUAGCAAACAGG